CCCUAUGUUGAGCCUACUCAGAUCAGAAUACCUAGUCUCUAAGUGGGCCCACACCUUCGUAACCCAAGGACCGACAAACAGAAAUUGAAACAACGCAACCGUACUAUCUAUUUAUGAUAAUUUGAUUGCUGACAACACGACAACAUCACGCUUCUCUUUCUUAUUCUUAUUUAUAUAACUGUCACUUUACCGGGCCGGAAAAGUGACACCGUCACGUCUCAGAGUCGUAUGCCUGGAACAAGAAGGGUCGUCGUACAAUUUCGGCGAUUAAAAAAA
This 276-nucleotide long non-coding RNA is filed under the name Oryza brachyantha (malo sina). RNAcentral describes it as "long non-coding RNA (OBRA_LNC003610)". Lineage: Eukaryota; Viridiplantae; Streptophyta; Magnoliopsida; Poales; Poaceae. The record is from RNAcentral.